Molecule: long non-coding RNA, 1560 nt
Organism: Dromaius novaehollandiae (emu)
Lineage: Eukaryota; Metazoa; Chordata; Aves; Casuariiformes; Dromaiidae
Exons: 3
Source: RefSeq, a predicted model, not a curated record
UUUACAGCCACAUUUAAAAUUUAAUGAUAUUUCGGUUUAAGUCAGCUUUUCUGCGCGGUUUUUGGUGGAGAUUGUACUGGUGCUUUUGGAGAGUUAAGCAUGGUCACAUUUGCUUGCAUGUCUGUAAGAAUCAGGUGAUUUUUAAGCUUAUCUACUACUUCUGUGGGUUUUUUUGUUUUGGGGGUUUUUGUUUGUUUGUUUUGUAAGAAUGCAUUGAUUUAUAGAAUACCCCUCUUCAGGUACUGCCCAACGUAGUUAAGGACUCUGUCCAAGUCUUACUGCAAAUAAGUAUUUUCAAUAAUAUUCAAUAUUUUAAUUGUUUCUCAGCUGAAGAAUGUUCUAUUUCUAGGUUAGGUUUGACAAAACUGGUUGUUCAGUUUAAAACUGAGCCCAAGUGAAAUUGUAAUGAAGAUAGGCCCCAGAAACAAGUGUAUUCUCUGUCUGCUUUGUCUCCUUGUCUUGUGUCUUGCUUAGUGCUCCCGCAUGGUACAUACAGUCCAUUACAAUUUGCCUUCAAGUUGAUCUUUUCCUGGAUAGAAAAGGAUAGUUUCUCUCAAACAGUUUCAGAACUUUGCUGGAUCCCAGCAGACCAUGGCAUCCCAGCAGACCAUGGCAUCCCAUGGCCACUGCCCUUAUCUGCGAGAAAGCUGUACUGACACCACCACCACCACCACCACCACCACCACCCAUUACACCAGAUGGUGUUUUUGCUGUCAAAUUUUACCACACUUGAUGAUGACUUACGCUGAACUUCACUUCAGAUGCUCCUGCAACUGCAUAGGGGAUGGUUUUCUUAUCUUGAGAAAAGGCCCUUUCCGAAUGUUUUAUGGCUCAAGUAGCUGUGACCCUCCACUGAUUCGGUGAGUGGAACUGGGAUCUCUGAUUCUCUCCUACCCCACCCAAGUUCAUCUUGGUCUCUUUCUCACCUGAUGAACAUAUGUUCACUGGCAUGUUAAUUAGGGCAUGUGUGGGAUAUGGAAGAGUUGAUGUUUAAAGUCAUUGAAAUGAUUGUCAUGACUCAUAACAGGGGCAUGAACUCACAGAGUAGACGUGAGAACUAUUGAUACAUUUUUAUCUGUAUAAUUAAAUAAAAGUUCAUUUCAUCAAAUGCUUUCUCAGACACUUUUUUUAUCUGAUAACCAGAAAAAGAUGUGAGCUGAGAGUUACUGAAGUCUUAGUUAAUUGUAAUGACUGUUCAUCUAACUGUUCUUAUAACUGUACAGCUCUCUUGCACCUGUGUUGGGUAAACUGUAGAUACUAAACCCCAUUUUUAUCUCUUUGGUAAUAUACAUGUGCUUAGAGUAUAAAAACUGGAGUUUCUUUUUAGCAUCCAAGCUGGAUAGUCGGCAGUUUGACUUAAAUCCAGGAAGAGCUUGACUCUUUGCUGCUUUUUUAUCUAAAUGACAUUGCUAAGACUUAUAUUUGGACCAAAGAAGAGAGAAGAAAUAACCUUUUUUUUUAAUCUGAAAAGAGAAGAAACUUUAAACUUAGUCACAAUUUCAGCUGGACCUUAAGAAGCUCAUCAAGAACCUGUAUUCAUAAUAAAUUUCCCUCCUCCUU